AAUCUCAGUUCAGACUGCAGGCUGCAACUCGCCUGCACGAAGUCGGAAUUGCUAGUAAUCGUAGGUCAGCAUACUACGGUGAAUACGUUCCCGGGCCUUGUGCACACCGCCCGUCAAACCAUGAGAGUUGGCAACACCCGAAGUCGGUAGCCUAACCGCAAGGAGGACGCCGCCGAAGGUGGGGUUGAUGAUUAGGGUUAAGUCGUAACAAGGUAAC
RNAcentral lists this ribosomal RNA (217 nucleotides) under uncultured bacterium. RNAcentral's name for it is "partial 16S ribosomal RNA". It matches the Rfam family "Bacterial small subunit ribosomal RNA", at positions 1284 to 1500 of the family's 1533-position model. The record is from RNAcentral.